GAGGAGUAAAGAGAAAAAUCAGGAAAGAAAGAAAAAGAAAGAUCAAGAAAUGAAAGCACAGACACACAAGAGUAUUGUCCUGGGACAUCCGGCAGUUGGUGGCAACUUAAGAUUCAACCUCAAGUCUUUGAAUUCUCCUCAGCGACUGGAAGAAUCAGGGAGGGCAGUGAUUUAAGCAUAUGCAGACAUAGCCCAAGGCCACUGCACCACAGGUUCUGAGACGAAGGCCUAUGUUUUGAGAAAGAAACAACUUCAGAAAUUCCCCAAAUUUCAGAACUCAUGAAACUUUCAGCUGACUCUGGGGAGGGGAAGAGAAAGAAACCUCCAUACUUGACGGGCCCAUAUAUUUCUUUACACCCUUAAAUAAACAUGCAUGCAUACCAGGAGGAUGCUAUAGAUUAAGCUAC
Molecule: long non-coding RNA, 407 nt
Organism: Chinchilla lanigera (long-tailed chinchilla)
Lineage: Eukaryota; Metazoa; Chordata; Mammalia; Rodentia; Chinchillidae
Exons: 2
Source: RefSeq, a predicted model, not a curated record